AACGCGAUAGCUCAGCUGGUGGAGCAUCUGCCCGGUAAGCGGAGUGUCGCCGGUUCGAUUCCGGCUCGCGGCG
This 73-nucleotide transfer RNA is filed under the name Fasciola hepatica (liver fluke). It matches the Rfam family "tRNA". Rfam says of the family: Transfer RNA (tRNA) molecules are approximately 80 nucleotides in length. Their secondary structure includes four short double-helical elements and three loops (D, anti-codon, and T loops). Lineage: Eukaryota; Metazoa; Platyhelminthes; Trematoda; Plagiorchiida; Fasciolidae. The record is from Rfam by way of RNAcentral.